GACGAACGCUGGCGGCGUGCCUAAUACAUGCAAGUAGAACGCUGAAGGAGGAGCUUGCUUCUCCGGAUGAGUUGCGAACGGGUGAGUAACGCGUAGGUAACCUGCCUGGUAGCGGGGGAUAACUAUUGGAAACGAUAGCUAAUACCGCAUAAUAGUAGAUGUUGCAUGACAUUUACUUAAAAGGUGCAAUUGCAUCACUACCAGAUGGACCUGCGUUGUAUUAGCUAGUUGGUGGGGUAACGGCUCACCAAGGCGACGAUACAUAGCCGACCUGAGAGGGUGAUCGGCCACACUGGGACUGAGACACGGCCCAGACUCCUACGGGAGGCAGCAGUAGGGAAUCUUCGGCAAUGGACGGAAGUCUGACCGAGCGACGCCGCGUGAGUGAAGAAGGUUUUCGGAUCGUAAAGCUCUGUUGUAAGAGAAGAACGAGUGUGGGAGUGGAAAGUUCACACUGUGACGGUAUCUUACCAGAAAGGGACGGCUAACUACGUGCCAGCAGCCGCGGUAAUACGUAGGUCCCGAGCGUUGUCCGGAUUUAUUGGGCGUAAAGCGAGCGCAGGCGGUUAGAUAAGUCUGAAGUUAAAGGCUGUGGCUUAACCAUAGUACGCUUUGGAAACUGUUUAACUUGAGUGCAAGAGGGGAGAGUGGAAUUCCAUGUGUAGCGGUGAAAUGCGUAGAUAUAUGGAGGAACACCGGUGGCGAAAGCGGCUCUCUGGCUUGUAACUGACGCUGAGGCUCGAAAGCGUGGGGAGCAAACAGG
Molecule: ribosomal RNA, 763 nt
Filed under: uncultured Streptococcus sp.
Lineage: Bacteria; Bacillati; Bacillota; Bacilli; Lactobacillales; Streptococcaceae
Description: bacterial SSU rRNA
Rfam family: Bacterial small subunit ribosomal RNA
Source: RNAcentral